RNAcentral lists this ribosomal RNA (375 nucleotides) under uncultured bacterium. Its description in RNAcentral is "bacterial SSU rRNA". It matches the Rfam family "Bacterial small subunit ribosomal RNA", at positions 524 to 898 of the family's 1533-position model. The record is from RNAcentral.
UACGUAGGUGGCGAGCGUUGUCCGGAAUUAUUGGGCGUAAAGAGCAUGUAGGUGGGAAUGUAAGUCUGUUGUUAAAAUGCGGGGCUCAACCCCGUAUUGCACUGGAAACUACAUUUCUUGAGUGCAGGAGAGGAAAGGGGAAUUCCCAGUGUAGCGGUGAAAUGCGUAGAUAUUGGGAGGAACACCAGUGGCGAAGGCGCCUUUCUGGACUGUGUCUGACACUGAGAUGCGAAAGCUAGGGGAGCGAACGGGAUUAGAUACCCCGGUAGUCCUAGCCGUAAACGAUGGGUACUAGGUGUAGGAGGUAUCGACCCCUUCUGUGCCGGAGUUAACGCAAUAAGUACCCCGCCUGGGGAGUACGGCCGCAAGGUUGAA